This 1445-nucleotide ribosomal RNA is filed under the name uncultured organism. RNAcentral describes it as "SSU rRNA". It matches the Rfam family "Bacterial small subunit ribosomal RNA". The record is from RNAcentral.
CUAGCUACAGGCUUAACACAUGCAAGUCGAGGGGCAGCAUGGUCUUAGCUUGCUAAGGCCGAUGGCGACCGGCGCACGGGUGAGUAACACGUAUCCAACCUGCCGUCUACUCUUGGACAGCCUUCUGAAAGGAAGAUUAAUACAAGAUGGCAUCAUGAGUCCGCAUGUUCACAUGAUUAAAGGUAUUCCGGUAGACGAUGGGGACGCGUUCCAUUAGAUAGUAGGCGGGGUAACGGCCCACCUAGUCUUCGAUGGAUAGGGGUUCUGAGAGGAAGGUCCCCCACAUUGGAACUGAGACACGGUCCAAACUCCUACGGGAGGCAGCAGUGAGGAAUAUUGGUCAAUGGGCGAGAGCCUGAACCAGCCAAGUAGCGUGAAGGAUGACUGCCCUAUGGGUUGUAAACUUCUUUUAUAAAGGAAUAAAGUCGGGUAUGGAUACCCGUUUGCAUGUACUUUAUGAAUAAGGAUCGGCUAACUCCGUGCCAGCAGCCGCGGUAAUACGGAGGAUCCGAGCGUUAUCCGGAUUUAUUGGGUUUAAAGGGAGCGUAGAUGGAUGUUUAAGUCAGUUGUGAAAGUUUGCGGCUCAACCGUAAAAUUGCAGUUGAUACUGGAUAUCUUGAGUGCAGUUGAGGCAGGCGGAAUUCGUGGUGUAGCGGUGAAAUGCUUAGAUAUCACGAAGAACUCCGAUUGCGAAGGCAGCCUGCUAAGCUGCAACUGACAUUGAGGCUCGAAAGUGUGGGUAUCAAACAGGAUUAGAUACCCUGGUAGUCCACACGGUAAACGAUGAAUACUCGCUGUUUGCGAUAUACUGCAAGCGGCCAAGCGAAAGCGUUAAGUAUUCCACCUGGGGAGUACGCCGGCAACGGUGAAACUCAAAGGAAUUGACGGGGGCCCGCACAAGCGGAGGAACAUGUGGUUUAAUUCGAUGAUACGCGAGGAACCUUACCCGGGCUUAAAUUGCAGAUGAAUUACGGUGAAAGCCGUAAGCCGCAAGGCAUCUGUGAAGGUGCUGCAUGGUUGUCGUCAGCUCGUGCCGUGAGGUGUCGGCUUAAGUGCCAUAACGAGCGCAACCCUUGUUGUCAGUUACUAACAGGUUCCGCUGAGGACUCUGACAAGACUGCCAUCGUAAGAUGUGAGGAAGGUGGGGAUGACGUCAAAUCAGCACGGCCCUUACGUCCGGGGCUACACACGUGUUACAAUGGGGGGUACAGAGGGCCGCUACCACGCGAGUGGAUGCCAAUCCCCAAAACCUCUCUCAGUUCGGACUGGAGUCUGCAACCCGACUCCACGAAGCUGGAUUCGCUAGUAAUCGCGCAUCAGCCACGGCGCGGUGAAUACGUUCCCGGGCCUUGUACACACCGCCCGUCAAGCCAUGGGAGCCGGGGGUACCUGAAGUGCGUAACCGCGAGGAGCGCCCUAGGGUAAAACUGGUGGCUGGGGCUAAG